GGGCGGUUAGCUCAGUGGUAGAGCGUCUGCCUUACAAGCAGAGGGUCACUGGUUCAAGUCCGGUACCGCCCA
RNAcentral lists this transfer RNA (72 nucleotides) under Scytosiphon lomentaria. Its description in RNAcentral is "tRNA-Val". It matches the Rfam family "tRNA". From Rfam's summary of the family: Transfer RNA (tRNA) molecules are approximately 80 nucleotides in length. Their secondary structure includes four short double-helical elements and three loops (D, anti-codon, and T loops). The record is from RNAcentral. Lineage: Eukaryota; Phaeophyceae; Ectocarpales; Scytosiphonaceae.